GAUUAAGUUAUUAAGGGCGCACGGUGGAUGCCUUGGCACUAGAAGCCGAUGAAGGACGUUACUAACGACGAUAUGCUUUGGGGAGCUGUAAGUAAGCUUUGAUCCAGAGAUUUCCGAAUGGGGAAACCCAGCACGAGUUAUGUCGUGUUAUCUGCAUGUGAAUACAUAGCAUGCAAGAAGGCAGACCCGGAGAACUGAAACAUCUUAGUACCCGGAGGAAGAGAAAGAAAAAUCGAUUCCCUGAGUAGCGGCGAGCGAAACGGGAAGAGCCCAAACCAAUAAGCUUGCUUAUUGGGGUUGUAGGACACUCUG
RNAcentral lists this ribosomal RNA (312 nucleotides) under Staphylococcus pseudintermedius. RNAcentral's name for it is "partial 23S ribosomal RNA". It matches the Rfam family "Bacterial large subunit ribosomal RNA", at positions 1 to 312 of the family's 2925-position model. The record is from RNAcentral. Lineage: Bacteria; Bacillati; Bacillota; Bacilli; Caryophanales; Staphylococcaceae.